UUUAAUUUAAUUCUAGUGGCGGACGGGUGAGUAACGCGUGGGUAACCUGCCUUAUACAGGGGGAUAACAACCAGAAAUGGUUGCUAAUACCGCAUAAGCGCACAGGACCGCAUGGUCCGGUGUGAAAAACUCCGGUGGUAUAAGAUGGACCCGCGUCUGAUUAGCUUGUUGGUGAGGUAACGGCCCACCAAGGCGACGAUCAGUAGCCGACCUGAGAGGGCGGACGGCCACAUUGGGACUGAGACACGGCCCAAACUCCUACGGGAGGCAGCAUG
Molecule: ribosomal RNA, 275 nt
Filed under: uncultured bacterium
Lineage: Bacteria
Description: partial 16S ribosomal RNA
Rfam family: Bacterial small subunit ribosomal RNA
Source: RNAcentral